RNAcentral lists this ribosomal RNA (972 nucleotides) under uncultured bacterium. RNAcentral describes it as "bacterial SSU rRNA". It matches the Rfam family "Bacterial small subunit ribosomal RNA", at positions 1 to 929 of the family's 1533-position model. The record is from RNAcentral.
GGUCCAGACUUUGAUUAUGGCUCAGGAUGAACGCUGGCGGCGUGCCUAAUACAUGCAAGUCGAACGCGAGCACUUGUGCUCGAGUGGCGAACGGGUGAGUAAUACAUAAGUAACCUGCCCUAGACAGGGGGAUAACUAUUGGAAACGAUAGCUAAGACCGCAUAGGUACGGACACUGCAUGGUGACCGUUAUUAAAAGUGCCUCAAAGCCACUGGUAUGAAGGAAUGGACUUAUGGCGCAUUAGCUGGUUGGCGGGGUAACGGCCCCACCAAGGCGACGAUGCGUAAGCCGACCUGAAGAGGGUGACCGGCCCACACUGGGACUGAAGACACGGCCCAGACUCCUACGGGGAGGCAGCAGUAGGGAAUUUUCGGCAAUGGGGGGAAACCCUGACCGAGCAACGCCGCGUGAAGGGAAGAAGGUUUUCGGAUUGUAAACUUCUGUUAUAAAGGAAGAACGGCGGCUACAGGGAAAUGGUAGCCGAGUGACGGUACUUUAUUAAGAAAGCCACGGCUAACUACGUGCCAGCAGCCGCGGUAAAUACGUAGGUGGCAAGCGUUAUCCGGAAUUAUUGGGCGUAAAGAGGGAGCAGGCGGCAGCAAGGGUCUGUGGUGAAAGCCUGAAGCUUAACUUCAGUAAGCCAUAGAAACCCAGGCAGCUAGAGUUGCAGGAGAGGAUCGUGGAAUUCCAUGUGUAGCGGUGAAAUGCGUUAGAUAUAUGGAGGAACACCAGUUGGCGAAGGCGACGUAUCUGGCCAUGCAACUGACGCUCAGUCCUCGGAAAGCGUGGGGAGCAAAUAGGAUAUAGAUACCCUAGUAGUCCACGCUCGUAUAACGAUGAAGUUUACUACAGUGUUGGAUGUUCAAGAGUUUCUAGUGCUUGCAGUUAGACCGCACAUUAGAGAUAUCUCCGCCCUUGAGUAGUACGUUCGCAAGAAUGCAACUCAAAGGAAUUGACGGAAGGGCGAAUUCG